This 482-nucleotide ribosomal RNA is filed under the name uncultured bacterium. RNAcentral's name for it is "partial 16S ribosomal RNA". It matches the Rfam family "Bacterial small subunit ribosomal RNA", at positions 30 to 507 of the family's 1533-position model. The record is from RNAcentral.
AUUGAACGCUGGCGGCAUGCUUUACACAUGCAAGUCGAACGGUAACAGCACUUCGGUGGCUGACGAGUGGCGAACGGGUGAGUAAUACAUCGGAACGUGCCUAGUAGUGGGGGAUAACUACUCGAAAGAGUAGCUAAUACCGCAUGAGAUCUAAGGAUGAAAGCAGGGGACCUUCGGGCCUUGCGCUACUAGAGCGGCUGAUGGCAGAUUAGGUAUUUGGUGGGAUACAAGCUUACCAAGCCGACGAUCUGUAGCUGGUCUGAGAGGACGACCAGCCACACUGGGACUGGGACACGGCCCAGACUCCUACGGGAGGCAGCAGUGGGGAAUGUUGGACAAUGGGCGCAAGCCUGAUCCAGCAAUGCCGCGUGCAGGAUGAAGGCCUUCGGGUUGUAAACUGCUUUUGUACGGAACGAAAAGCCCUCUUCUAAUACAGGAGGGUCAUGACGGUACCGUAAGAAUAAGCACCGGCUAACUACGUG